RNAcentral lists this ribosomal RNA (253 nucleotides) under uncultured bacterium. Its description in RNAcentral is "partial 16S ribosomal RNA". It matches the Rfam family "Bacterial small subunit ribosomal RNA", at positions 524 to 776 of the family's 1533-position model. The record is from RNAcentral.
UACAGAGGGGGCCAGCGUUAUUCGGAAUUACUGGGCGUAAAGCGCGCGUAGGCGGCUUUGCAAGCCGGAUGUGAAAUCCCCGGGCUUAACCUGGGAACUGCAUUCGGGACUGCAUUGCUAGAGUAUGGGAGAGGGAAGUGGAAUUUCAGGUGUAGCGGUGAAAUGCGUAGAUAUCAAGAGGAACACCAGUGGCGAAGGCGAGUCCCUGGACAACACCUGACACUGAGGCACGAAAGCUAGGGGAGCAAACAGG